ACAUAGGGACCAAGCGUUGUCCGGAUUUAUUGGGCGUAAAGGGCUCGUAGGCGGCGAGAUAAGUCAGAAUUAAAAGGCAGAAGCUUAACUUCUGUUCGGUUCUGGGACUGUCUUGCUUGAGAUUGGAAGAGGAAGAUGGAAUUAACAGUGUAGCGGUGAAAUGCGUAGAUAUUGUUAAGAACACCCGUGGCGAAGGCGGUCUUCUGGUCCAAAUCUGACGCUGAGGAGCGAAAGCGUGGGGAGCAAACAG
RNAcentral lists this ribosomal RNA (250 nucleotides) under uncultured prokaryote. RNAcentral describes it as "partial 16S rRNA". It matches the Rfam family "Bacterial small subunit ribosomal RNA", at positions 525 to 775 of the family's 1533-position model. The record is from RNAcentral.